Molecule: ribosomal RNA, 253 nt
Filed under: uncultured bacterium
Lineage: Bacteria
Description: partial 16S ribosomal RNA
Rfam family: Bacterial small subunit ribosomal RNA
Source: RNAcentral
CACGUAGGGCGCAAGCGUUGUCCGGAAUUAUUGGGCGUAAAGAGCUCGUAGGCGGUCUGUUGCGUCCGCUGUGAAAACUCGGGGCUUAACCCCGAGCCUGCAGUGGAUACGGGCAGACUAGAGGUAGGUAGGGGAGAAUGGAAUUCCCGGUGUAGCGGUGAAAUGCGCAGAUAUCGGGAGGAACACCGGUGGCGAAGGCGGUUCUCUGGGCCUUACCUGACGCUGAGGAGCGAAGGCGUGGGGAGCGAACAGG